Molecule: ribosomal RNA, 443 nt
Filed under: uncultured bacterium
Lineage: Bacteria
Description: bacterial SSU rRNA
Rfam family: Bacterial small subunit ribosomal RNA
Source: RNAcentral
CCUACGGGGGGCUGCAGUCGAGAAUAUUGGACAAUGGGCGAAAGCCUGAUCCAGCGACAUUGCGUGGAGGAUGAAGACGUUCGCGCCGUAAACUCCUUUUAUAGGGAAAGAAGUAAUUGACGGUACCCUAUGAAUAAGCGGGGGCUAAUUCUGUGCCAGCAGCAGCGGUAAUACAGAACCCGCAAGCGUUAUCCGGAUUUAUUGGGCGUAAAGUGUUCGUAGGCGGUUCGGAAAGUCUGAUAUCAAAUAUCCGGGCUCAACCCGGGGCGAGUAUUGGAAACUUCCGAACUUGAAGGUGCUAGGGGCUAUCGGAACGCACGGUGUAGGGGUGAAAUCCGUUGAUAUCGUGCGGAACACCAAAAGCGAAGGCAGAUAGCUGGGGCAUUCUUGACGCUGAGGAACGAAAGCGUGGGGAGCAAACAGGAUUAGAUACCCCGGUAGUC